Molecule: transfer RNA, 72 nt
Filed under: Camelus bactrianus (Bactrian camel)
Lineage: Eukaryota; Metazoa; Chordata; Mammalia; Artiodactyla; Camelidae
Also listed under: 2 other names
Rfam family: tRNA
About the family: Transfer RNA (tRNA) molecules are approximately 80 nucleotides in length. Their secondary structure includes four short double-helical elements and three loops (D, anti-codon, and T loops).
Source: Rfam by way of RNAcentral
GAAGGUAUAGUUCAGUGGUAGAGUAUGUGCUCAGCAUGCAUGAGUUCCUGGGUUCAAUUCCCAGCACCUCCA